This is a long non-coding RNA of Mesocricetus auratus (golden hamster), 2748 nucleotides long. RefSeq lists it as uncharacterized. The transcript has 3 exons. The record is from RefSeq and is a predicted model, not a curated record. Lineage: Eukaryota; Metazoa; Chordata; Mammalia; Rodentia; Cricetidae.
UGAGUGGCUCAGCCUCCAGUAACAGUGCAUGAUGGGGCGGCAAGGCAGGCCCUGGAGAGCCUCACUGGCAGCCAGGCCUGAGUUCCGGAGUGGACCGAUGCACAGAAGAGACGCUGGGCCUGACAGCCUGCUGCCGCUCUGCUGUCUGCUACCCCUGCUCAUUGCUGUCUUCUUGCCUUCAGCAGCUCUGGAACCAGGCUGGUGAGAAGGCUUCUCUUUACAAAAUGGAAUGCUGACCAAGCCUGGCAAUUUGGAAACAGGAAAUGCAGGCACUACUUCGAAGUUACUGGUGUCACUGCCAGGCAAGCAGGCCUGCCCUGCCAGCUGUGAGUGGGAAUCAGGGCUUCUUCACCAGCCACAUGCGGUUCUUCCAGGCAGGGACAGUACCUGGUAAGAGUGUGCCACCACCUCAUGCACAGUGCUCACACAUGUGCUCAUGGACCUGCAUGUACAUAUGCACACAUUCAACCUGGGUACACACAUGAUCUGUGCACAUAUUCUGAGUGCCCAUGUGCACACGUGUGUAUAUACAUAAGUGUGUCCACCACACACACAUAUGCCUGUGUCCUGCAUGCACACAGCUUCACACAGACAAAUGUGUGUGCAUACUCAUUCCUUUUAUGUCACACACAUGUGUACAUGCACAUGUUCUUCCGCGCUGCACACAUGUCAUAAACACACCCCACACUCCGGCAGGGAAGAGCCCUCCACCUCUUUGCUGAGCACAAGAGUUUUAUUUGCAGUUUUCAAACAGAAUUCAAGGCUCAGAGUGGCCUUCCACACUGCUCUGUAUGUGGCUGUGCACGAGACCCUCAGGGAAAGACUUACAAACAUCCAACUCACACAUAUCCCCUGUGACACUCAGUCUCUGACUCACUCCGUGCUCCCACAUUUGGAAGUAGAGGGGCCAGGGAUGCCCAUCUGUACCCACUACCCUGCACCAGCAUGUCAUAGUCUAGUGCCUCCUUCAAAAGGCGCGUGGACGCCCAGUGCUCUCCCCCAUGGUGCCUGGCCCACACCUCUGCCUGGAGGCCCAGUAGCAGCUGUGCUGCCAACAACGCUCCGACUAUGCUUGGAGCUGGCCAGCCACCCCGAGAAGCCCUCAGUGAUGAGACGCAACCAGACAGGCGCAAGGAACAGCCCUGCAGUCAUGUAAAAUGCAAGAGAAACUCUGUGCCCAUGCUGCUGCCAGCAGGACACGGCCCAGCCCCCCCGUCUGGGGGCCGUUUAACCCAGGCCCUGCGCAACGAGAUCCUCAUUUAAAGGAAGCCAACAGCUUAGCAUGUUCUUUGAGAGGCAUCAUGUGGAGGGGGCGUGGAGAACCUCAAGGUCAUGUGGCCUCUGAGAACCAAUCUCACCCAGCACCCAGAUGGAUGCUUCCAGAUGAGUCAGGCCGUGGGAAGAGAACAGGCGUUUUUCUGCAGUCAGCUAGCAGCCUGGGGCAGCCCAGAGUAUGAUUGACCUGGAGAGAAAUCGUGCAUCUGCCAGCUGGCGAGCCGUGGGCUGCCCUGCAAAUCCCACACACGGGUCACCGACACAGGCCAUGGUGCCCUCUGCCUGAGUGGGGGAGUGGGGUGCUGCCUGCUUCCUGUGCAUCUCCCACAGAGCACCAGGUAGAGAUGGGAGAGACAAAAGCAUUGGGGACGUGCAGAGAAACCUCAGGCUUGGCUUGAACUAGCUGAGUGACUUUGGAUGAGCCUCCAAGCUUCUCUCCCGCAUAAGGGAAUCACUUAGCAUGGCGGAUAGCUAGCUUGCUUCAACAGCGCUGGAAACCCUGAGGCAAGAGCAAAUGGACCACCCCCUCCCCUCCCACAAAACCUCCUUGAGACAGAGGAGUUGGGCAACCAUCAGAUCUUCAGGAGAUACUGCGCAGCAGAGGGCCCUCACUCAGAGAAGGAACCCAGGCAGGAGAGCUGAGAGACUCCAUCAGACUCCCUCCCACAGGCGUCCCUGGAACUGCAGAACCAGAAGAGAGUGUAUGAGCAAAGUAGACACAGAAAUAAUGGCCAAGAACUUACUGACAUCUAUGACAUGGUAUCCUAGUUAACUUUAACUGUCAGCUUGACACAGCCUAGAGUCAGUCUCAUUUGAGGGAUUGUCCUGCUCAGAAUGGCCUAUGACAUGUCUGGGAUGGAUUGCCUUGGUUGUUAAUUGAUGUUGCCCACUGUGGGAGCACCAUUCCCUUGACAGUCGAUUUUGAGCUAUUUAAGAAUGUUAGCUAAGUACGAGUGGUUAUGUGCUGCCUGACCUGGUUCUGGGAACUGAACCCAGGUCCUCUGUAAGAACAGCAAGUGCUCUUAACCACUGAUCAUCUCUCCAGCCCCAUUAAAAAUAUGUGUUAAGGUAUUUUAUCACUGUGGCAUGGCUGGGGACUGUCUGUCUCUUGCACAUUGCCUUUUACCUAUUGCUACACAAACAGGAAUGGCUUCCUCAGCCUGGACUCCAGGAUGAGCCAGUGCUAUUGGAAUGAACCCAGUGGAGGAUGUAGGGACACCACCAUUCCCCUGGCCUGUGGUGAUAUCUUGUUUGUACAAAUAAAGCAUGUCUGAAGAUCAGAGGGUGGAGAUUGCCACUAACUAACCAUAGGGGUCUGGAGGUGUGUAAAGAGACAGGAAAUGAGAUGGCUGGUGGAGAAAGGAACGUGGGCUGGAGGAAACAGGGACUUGCUCUCUUUUCUGCUGGAAAGCUAUUGAGAUAAAGGUGGCUUUGGCUUGCUCCUUCUCUCUGAUCUCUCAGCAUUUUCCCCUA